GGGGAUGUAAAGGUUUCGACGGGGACCGUGAAGCAGGAUAAGCGAGCAGAGGAGCGCACUCUCUUUAAACGGCGUACGUUUUAUAAUUAGACGACAACAAUAAUUAUGCAUUAGCUGCCUAAGUGCAGCUCGUCUGCCCCGAAGUACCGCGAGCGGGUGUCAGGCGUCGACAGCGGUGAACGUCAGAGGAAAUUGUCUGUGGUCCUCUGAUGUAACAGCAGACUACCGAAAUUAAGGGCUUGUUUAUCUGCCCUUAGUCAAGGGAAUUAAAAUAUGAUAAACUACGCUCGUAGAAGGUCGUGUGGAUCGAUUUUCGGACACGGGUUCGAUUCCCGUCAUCUCCACCA
This 347-nucleotide transfer-messenger RNA is filed under the name pig gut metagenome. It matches the Rfam family "transfer-messenger RNA". Rfam says of the family: Bacterial tmRNA, also known as 10Sa RNA or SsrA, is named for its dual tRNA and mRNA-like properties. Its role is to liberate the mRNA from a stalled ribosome. To accomplish this part of the tmRNA is used as a reading frame that ends in a translation stop signal. The record is from RNAcentral.